This 460-nucleotide ribosomal RNA is filed under the name uncultured bacterium. RNAcentral describes it as "partial 16S ribosomal RNA". It matches the Rfam family "Bacterial small subunit ribosomal RNA", at positions 338 to 795 of the family's 1533-position model. The record is from RNAcentral.
CCUACGGGGGGCUGCAGUGAGGAAUAUUGGUCAAUGGGCGGGAGCCUGAACCAGCCAAGCCGCGUGAGGGAAGAAGGUACAGCGUAUCGUAAACCUCUUUUGUCAGGGAACAAAGGCGGGGACUAGUCCCCGGAUGAGGGUACCUGAAGAAAAAGCAUCGGCUAACUCCGUGCCAGCAGCCGCGGUAAUACGGAGGAUCCGAGCGUUAUCCGGAUUUAUUGGGUUUAAAGGGAGCGUAGGUGGAUUGUUAAGUCCGUUGUGAAAGUUUGCGGCUCAACCGUAAAAUUGCAGUUGAAACUGGCAGUCGUGAGCACAGUAGAGGUGGGCGGAAUUCGUGGUGUAGCGGUGAAAUGCUUAGAUAGCACGAAGAACUCCGAUUGCGAAGGCAGUUCACUGGACUGCAACUGACACUGAGGCUCGAAAGUGUGGGUAUCAAACAGGAUUAGAGACCCCUGUAGUC